CCUACGGGAGGCAGCAGUGAGGAAUAUUGGUCAAUGGACGAGAGUCUGAACCAGCCAAGUCGCGUGAAGGAUGACUGCCCUAUGGAUUGUAAACUUCUUUUGUCUGGGAAUAAAAUGUCCCACGUGUGGGAUUAUGUAUGUACCCUAUGAAUAAGGAUCGGCUAACUCCGUGCCAGCAGCCGCGGUAAUACGGAGGAUCCGAGCGUUAUCCGGAUUUAUUGGGUUUAAAGGGAGCGUAGGUGGAUGGUUAAGUCAGUGGUGAAAGUUUGCGGCUCAACCGUAAAACUGCAGUUGAAACUGGCAGUCUUGAGUACACUAGAGGUGUGCGGAAUGCGUGGUGUAGCGGUGAAAUGCUUAGAUAUCACGAAGAACUCCGAUUGCGAAGGCAGCUCACUGGCCUCCAACUGACACUGAGGCACGAAAGCGUGGGUAUCAAACAGGAUUAGAUACCCGAGUAGUC
This 460-nucleotide ribosomal RNA is filed under the name uncultured bacterium. RNAcentral describes it as "partial 16S ribosomal RNA". It matches the Rfam family "Bacterial small subunit ribosomal RNA", at positions 338 to 795 of the family's 1533-position model. The record is from RNAcentral.